Molecule: ribosomal RNA, 413 nt
Filed under: uncultured eukaryote
Lineage: Eukaryota
Description: bacterial SSU rRNA
Rfam family: Eukaryotic small subunit ribosomal RNA
Source: RNAcentral
CAAUAGCGUAUAUUAAAGUUGUUGCAGUUAAAAAGCUCGUAGUUGGAUGUCUGGCUCUGUGUUGCGGUCCACCGCAAGGUGAGCACUGCGAUGUGGGGUCUUCCUCUUGAAUGCUGCGUGUGCUCUUAGUUGAGUGUGCGUGGGGUUUGGGAUCUUACUUGAAAAAUUAGAGUGUUCAAAGCGGGCUUACGCUUGAAUAUUUCAGCAUGGAAUAACACUAUAGGACUCCUGUCCUAUUUCGUUGGUCUCGGGACGGGAGUAAUGAUUAAGAGGAACAGUUGGGGGCAUUCGUAUUUCAUUGUCAGAGGUGAAAUUCUUGGAUUUAUGAAAGACGAACUUCUGCGAAAGCAUUUGCCAAGGAUGUUUUCAUUAAUCAAGAACGAAAGUUAGGGGAUCGAAGACGAUCAGAUACC